This 266-nucleotide ribosomal RNA is filed under the name uncultured bacterium. Its description in RNAcentral is "partial 16S ribosomal RNA". It matches the Rfam family "Bacterial small subunit ribosomal RNA", at positions 88 to 354 of the family's 1533-position model. The record is from RNAcentral.
CCGGCGACCGGCGCACGGGUGAGUAACACGUAUGGAACCUGCCCGCAGCAGGGGGAUAAGCGGAAGAAAUUCCGUCUAAUACCGCGUAACAACGUUGGGAGGCAUCUCCCGAUGUUUAAAGAUUUAUCGGCUGCGGAUGGCCAUGCGGCGCAUUAGCUAGUCGGCGGGGUAACGGCCCACCGAGGCGACGAUGCGUAGGGGUUCUGGGAGGAAGGUCCCCCACACUGGUACUGAGACACGGACCAGACUCCUACGGGAGGCAGCAG